AUAAUGGUAGGUGCUGCAGUUAUUUAGAAUCUUCAGAACUGCGAGAACAUUGAAAAUUUGGUCUUGAUUCUUGAAAUAGGAAGGGAAACCCAUUUUUUUUCCUUUCUUAUGCUUCCAGAUAUCGUGAGCCAUAAGAUUUUACUUUGACUUUCACAUUGACUUAGGCGUGGGGGGAAGUUUAUUGGAUGGGCUCAUCUAAGGUAUUAAUGCCACACUAGAUUUCUACCUAGGACCGACCGAUUAAUGAUACUAUUGUGGUUGAUAAGCAAUAGAUAAAGAACAGCUUGCUUGUGGGAAAAAAUCACUGGCUUUUUGUUUGGAAUAUAACAUAUACAAGAAAAGAAUUGAAUUAAAUUCCCACACAAUCAAACAACUUCUGACUUAUGUUUUCAAACAUGAAAAAUGAUAAAAAAGAAAUUAAUUGAAU
This 427-nucleotide unclassified non-coding RNA is filed under the name Hevea brasiliensis (rubber tree). The record is from RNAcentral. Lineage: Eukaryota; Viridiplantae; Streptophyta; Magnoliopsida; Malpighiales; Euphorbiaceae.